Molecule: long non-coding RNA, 256 nt
Filed under: Nicotiana benthamiana
Lineage: Eukaryota; Viridiplantae; Streptophyta; Magnoliopsida; Solanales; Solanaceae
Description: long non-coding RNA (NBEN_LNC020914)
Source: RNAcentral
UUUGGCUAUAAAGGAGAGCUUCAACUCUCAUUCUACACACCAACAAAGAGAGAAAGAAAGAGUGAGAUUUCACAGGCAAGGUAUAAGAAAAUAGUGUGUGAGAAAAAUAGAGAGUGAGCGAUAUUGUAGUGAGGUAGGAAUAUCAAAAGAGGGUUAUUUCUUUUGACUGUUGUAGUGGUCUUUGAAGUAUUUUACUCGGAACUACAAAGUGUAAAAUUCCUUACUAUAGUGAUAUCAGUUGCUCCUCUCAGGGCCG